This 250-nucleotide ribosomal RNA is filed under the name uncultured bacterium. RNAcentral's name for it is "partial 16S ribosomal RNA". It matches the Rfam family "Bacterial small subunit ribosomal RNA", at positions 524 to 773 of the family's 1533-position model. The record is from RNAcentral.
UACGGAGGGUGCAAGCGUUAUCCGGAUUCACUGGGUUUAAAGGGUGCGUAGGUGGAUAGGUAAGUCAGGGGUGAAAUCUCGGAGCUUAACUCCGAAACUGCCUUUGAUACUAUCUAUCUUGAAUAUUGUGGAGGUUUGCGGAAUAUGUCAUGUAGCGGUGAAAUGCUUAGAUAUGACAUGGAACACCUAUUGCGAAGGCAGCAGGCUACACAUAUAUUGACACUGAGGCACGAAAGCGUGGGGAUCAAAC